This is a non-coding RNA of Arachis ipaensis, 674 nucleotides long. The record is from RefSeq and is a predicted model, not a curated record. Lineage: Eukaryota; Viridiplantae; Streptophyta; Magnoliopsida; Fabales; Fabaceae.
UUGGCUUCUCUUCCAAUAUGAAUAAAAGCAAUUUUCCAAGGUCUACGAAGGAUUUUGUAAACCCCCUUUGCAUCUACUUCCACCUCCACUCUUCUCAUUUCCAAGUCUGUCGUCAUGUGAAGGCCAUGGAGGACACCCCACAACUCAGCUUGCACUGGUUGGCAUCUUCUAAAAUUCGCUCGAAAACCCCCAAUCCACUCCCCAUUAUGGGUUCGAAGAAGACUUCCGCACCCAACCUUCAUUGUUCUUUCUUGUGAUGUGCCAUCAAUAUUCAAUUUAACCCACCCUUUUUGGGCGGGCUCCAAUGAUUCACUGGGCGGAGGAAACUUGGAUUGUGAACCUCUUCAUUUCGCCACUUCCAAAGUCAGUAGCAGAGGCAUUGUGAAAAAGAGAGCAAUAGCAUUUGGGUGUACUAAUUUGGCCCAGAUCCUACAUGCGCUAGGACAGUCUCGCAGCACGUGGAGGAUCGAUUCUUUCACUUAGGGACAAUUAUGAUAGUAAGAAGAAGUUUCCAUCAUUCUAGCUUUUCUAUCUGCUGUCAUCAGCCUUCCAUGAUUCAUGAGCCACAAAAAGGUACGCACUCUUUCUGGGCCUUUCCAUUUCCAUGUUGCUUUCCAAAUUUUGUUAUUUUCACCUUGCUAGCUAGUUAGGCUCUUGUAUGCAGUUGCAAUAGA